ACACGUAAAGAACCUGCCUCAUAGACUGGGACAACUAUUGGAAACGAUAGCUAAUACCGGAUAACAGCAUUAACUGCAUGGUUGAUGUUUAAAAGUUGGUUUUGCUAACACUAUGAGAUGGCUUUACGGUGCAUUAGCUAGUUGGUGGGGUAAAGGCCUACCAAGGCGACGAUGCAUAGCCGACCUGAGAGGGUGAUCGGCCACACUGGGACUGAGACACGGCCCAG
This 227-nucleotide ribosomal RNA is filed under the name uncultured bacterium. RNAcentral's name for it is "partial 16S ribosomal RNA". It matches the Rfam family "Bacterial small subunit ribosomal RNA", at positions 113 to 334 of the family's 1533-position model. The record is from RNAcentral.